Long non-coding RNA from Rosa rugosa (rugosa rose), 738 nucleotides. RefSeq lists it as uncharacterized. The transcript has 3 exons. Lineage: Eukaryota; Viridiplantae; Streptophyta; Magnoliopsida; Rosales; Rosaceae. The record is from RefSeq and is a predicted model, not a curated record.
AAGAACUGGCCGUUCAGCAUUGUGGAGCAUGCAAGAGUGCUUCCAUGGAGUUAGACAUUAAAAGAAUUGUUAAAGGUGGCAUUGACUAUGCUAGUUAAUAUGCUCCCAAGCAGUCUUCUUUUCUAGAAGUAAAAGCAAUGUUCAAGAAUGAGUGGAGAAAUAAGGAGGAAGAUGCUGGUUGCAGGGACUCUUAUGACAUGUUCCUUGAUCGUUUGUCUAAAGGAUAAAAUAAUGCCUAUUUUUUAAGUUGGCUCUGGUUCAAGCCACUCUUGUCAUCGAAGCGGUAUUAUUGGUGUCACUCAACCUCGUCGUGCUGUAGUCCCUACAACUGCAAAGCGAGUUGCAUAUGAGCUUGGUUUGCAUUUAGGUAAAGAGGUUGGCUUUCAAGUUAGGUUUGACAAAAAAAUUGGCGACAGUUCCUCCAUCAAGUUCAUGAUAGAUGGAAUAUUACUACACGAGCUUCAGGUGCGCAGCAACUCUUACAUCUACUGUUAGGAUUUGAACAACUAUGCAUCAAAAUCAAAUCUCAACUCUUUUAUUUAGAUAGGUAGCUUAUAUCUGCUACCUUAUCUUAUAUCUCCAUCUAGUGUAGGUUCAAUUUAGGAAAUAGAAAGGAUUGCUCUGGCCCACCCUGUAAUUUUGCCCAACAAUCUACUUUAGAUAGUCUCGUUUUUAGGUCUCCUUUCUGUGACCCUGCAAUAAGAAACAAUGGUAAAAUCGGAAACCAUUUAGCCAUUA